UACGGGGGGGGCAAGCGUUGUUCGGAAUUACUGGGCGUAAAGGGCUCGUAGGUGGCCAACUAAGUCAUACGUGAAAUCCCUCGGCUUAACCGGGGAACUGCGUCUGAUACUGGAUGGCUUGAGUUUGGGAGAGGGAUGCGGAAUUCCAGGUGUAGCGGUGAAAUGCGUAGAUAUCUGGAGGAACACCGGUGGCGAAGGCGGCAUCCUGGACCAAUACUGACGCUGAGGAGCGAAAGCCAGGGGAGCAAACGGG
Molecule: ribosomal RNA, 253 nt
Filed under: uncultured bacterium
Lineage: Bacteria
Description: partial 16S ribosomal RNA
Rfam family: Bacterial small subunit ribosomal RNA
Source: RNAcentral